This is an RNA transcript of Cygnus olor (mute swan), 3123 nucleotides long. It is a transcript of the gene named N-acylethanolamine acid amidase, with no coding region annotated. NCBI's taxonomy places the organism in Eukaryota, Metazoa, Chordata, Aves, Anseriformes, Anatidae. The transcript has 9 exons. The record is from RefSeq and is a predicted model, not a curated record.
UUGCUGCCUGUGGGGAAGCUCGGGGCGGGAGAGGCGAGGCCGCAGCCGGCCGCCUUCUGCCCUGAGGCGAGGCUCCUUGGGGCUCGCGGCGCCGCCGCCAUAUCGUGGCCCUUCCCCCUGAGCCGCCCUUCGGGGGCGUGGGGCUGCGGGCGCGGCGGGGGCCGCUGCGGCCGCUUCCAGCAGCAUGGGGUGGGCAGCGGCGUGGGGCUCCCGGCUGUGGGGGCUGCUGGCGGUGGUGGUGGUGCUGUGCGGGACGGCGGCGGCAGCCGGCCUCGGGGCGGCCCCGCUGCUGUGCAACGUGAGCCUGGACAGCCCCGCCGAGGAGCGGUGGCUGCCGGUGCUGCGGCACUUCGAGCCCGCCUUCCUGCGCGCCGCCGUCGCCCGGGUCAUCGAUGAAACUGUGCCAAAAUGGGUCCACGAAGUUAUUCAGCCAAUUGCAGCAGAGCUGGAGUCCUUCAUGCCACAGCCCUUCGCAGGGGAAAUCCUGGGGCUGUGCAGAGCCCUGGGAAUCAGUUUGGGCGACGGAGUUCUGCUUAACUUCGCCUAUGAAUCCACUGCGUUCUGUACUAGUAUUGUUGCUCAGGAUGAAAAAGGAAACAUUUACCAUGGUCGGAACCUGGAUUAUGACUUUGUAGAUAUAUUAAGUAAAAUUACAAUUGAUGUGCAGUUUAUAAAAAGCGGACAGAUAGCAUAUCAAGGAACCACAUUUCUUGGUUACGUAGGCUUAUGGACUGGACAAAGUCCACACAAGUUCACAGUCUCUGGUGAUGAACGAGCGGGUGGUAGCUGGUGGGAAAAUGCAAUAGCUGCUUUUCUGAAUCGAAAUUACCCUGUCAGCUGGCUUGUCCGAGAUACCCUGAGCAGAGCAGAGGACUUUCAGUCAGCUGUUCUCAGACUAGCUGGCAUUCCCAUCAUCGCUGAAGUUUACUAUAUUGUAGGAGGUGUAUCACCCAAAGAAGGCAUGGUCAUAACGAGGAAUAGAAGAGGGCCAGCUGACCUCUGGCCUCUUGAUCCUUUAAGUGGAGCGUGGUUUCGUGUGGAGACAAAUUAUGACCAUUGGACUACCCCUCCUCCUUUUGAUGACCGAAGAACUCCAGCCAUGAAAGCUCUCAAUGCUACUGGACAGCAGAAUAUCAAUUUUGAUACGCUCUUUCAGGUAUUUCUUUUAAAUUCUGUAUUGUGGCACGUAGACUUUCACUUGAAACUCUUUCAAAGCAGAAGUGGUUACGUGGUUGUCAGUGAUUUUAAAGCUAUGCAAGGAAGGCAUGGUGAAAAGGAUGUGCCAUGCAGCCACCUCUGGAGAGUUUAAGGCUGACAAGUUUGUGCAUUAAAAUGGUUCUGAACUCCCUGUGUAGUCAUUUCAUAAUAGUCUGCCGAUCCAAGUUGGAAGGGUAAGCGAUGAAUCCCAUCACCAUCAUCGCCAUGCAGUUCCCUCGUUCAAGCGCAGUGAUAAAUAUUACAGCAGGCAGCUAAAGUGUUAGACAAGAGUGAUAUUUACCACUUAGUUUUGAGAACUUCAAUUUUGUAUGUUUCAGAAUUUUUAUUUAAUUCUUUUGUUAAAUGGUCCAAUACUUAAAAAUAAAACACAGCAAGAGUAAUUCUUGAUUCUGUAUUAUUUGUGUUUAUAACUUCAUCCUACUGCUGUUUCUAAAUAGCAUUUUAAUUCCCUUUUCACCAAAAUGACACCUUUUCAAACUUUCUGUACAGGUGUUGUCAGUGAAGCCAGUCUUAAAUGAGUAAGUAUUAGAUUCAGAGAUGUCAAUCAGUGCCUCCUACCAUGCCUUGGGCCACUUAAAAGGCCAUCACAAAUUUCCUCAGGAAUUUCCUAUACAUCUGUUUGAGUAUCUUGUCGUUUCCCAGUGUAGAUUUCUGCUUGUGCACAUGGUGCUGAAGACUUUCACAGAACUCCGUCUGUCUCUCUAGCCAUGGAACUGUGCUUUGUUAGGCUUAGUCUGGUAAUGGGAAGUUCCUUUGUAGUAGUGAAACAAGUAACUGCUUACAUGAACAGCAGUACUUUCUACAGUUCUUUUUGCCAACUCAUUUGUACCUUUGACUUUUGGAAAGGUUGGAUUUGUGUUAACACUAGACUCUGGUGCUUCUGAUUUCGCUCUGCUUGAUGUGUGAAAAAUAAAGAAGUCGUAAAUGGGGACAUAGCUUUUAGGUACCAUUUACUGGCUUUUUAAAACAGACUAAUUUCAGUAUAACAUUAUGGUUCUGCAUAGUUCCACAGGUUGCACCUUUGCAGGUUAUCCUGUUUUGCUUUAUUUUUACAUGGAACCCAGUACCUUCUCUAGAUCAGUCACUCACAUUACAGCUUGGCAAUGGCUUCUUCAAAGUCAGUAUGAGGACUUCCUCUCCUCUUUCUUAUAAAUGUGAGGAAAUUUGGAAAGGAGAAGAUUAUAUCUGUGUGACUGUUAAGAUUAGCAAUGCUGUUUUUUUAAUACAGUGACCCAAACCAAUGUAGAAAUACUGUUUCUUUGCUGUACUAAAUGGAAAGAAAAAUUUGAAAACUUGUGCCAGCAGCCAUCAUUUUUAUCAGUCUCUUUCACUCUCUUCCUAGCACUUCUGUACCUAAGCAGAAUGUUUGUUUCCACUAAAAUUUGUCCUGCUGCUUUGCUAGUUUUAUAAAUUAUUCUUCUCAUCUUUGGAAUGAUUUUUCACUGACUGUUUUCUUCUUCCCCUACCAGUAACACAGUGUAUACCACAGUAAUGAGCGCUGCAUUUCCAGAGAAGUACCAGACAUGGAUCAGAACUAUGAAGUGAAGAGGUCAGACCAUAUCGGUGAAAAGCUGAAGCUUUCCAAGACCGGCAUAAGCUUUUAAAAUCACACUCAAACGCACAACAGUUGUUUUGGCUUACUAAUUGUGCAAACCAUUCAGGAAAUAAUGACUUGUUAGUUCUUUGAAGUGUUGCAGAUGAUACUGUUAAUGAACUGUAAAGGAAGAUUGAUUUUAUUUUAACUAUAUUCAUGUUCUAGCAGAUGUUGAUGGCUAAAAAUUGUUUUUAUUGUUUUUGGAAAGAGUUGUGCAAUUUGAUUGUAUUCAUGUACUUACUAGUAAAUAAAAACUAAAUAUAUUUUGUGUGGUAUGUAGGUCUGAACAUAAUUAAAUAAAAAUAUGCAGC